Molecule: long non-coding RNA, 1243 nt
Filed under: Mus musculus (house mouse)
Lineage: Eukaryota; Metazoa; Chordata; Mammalia; Rodentia; Muridae
Description: long non-coding RNA chr13:17768998-17770241
Source: RNAcentral
GCUCAGGCCUUUAACCCCAGCACUCUGGAGAUUCAGUAGGCAGAGACAGGUAGAUGCUAAUCUUGUCUACAAAAUGAAUUCCAAGAAAGCCAGAUACACAGAGAAACCACGUCUCAAAAAAAAAACAACAACAAAAGAUGAUUCCAUAACAUUUCAGAAUAUAAACUAGCAUGGCCUUAUUAGGAUACAAUUUGUUGCUUUCAUUUCUAAAGUUUUAAAUGGGUAUAAUUUGUCAUAUUCUAUCUUAACCAAGUGUCUAUAUACAUUAGUAGUAAAAAGUAUGAUGUACUGAUUGUUAUAGAUAAGCAUAUUGAACCUAUCAAGAUUAACAUGGAAAUAUCUUCAACAAGUAAAUGAAAAAAAAAAAGGAAAGGAAUACCAUGAUCCUAAUUCAUUUUAAAUAAAACAAUCAUGUUUUUUGUAAAAACACAAUGGUAACAGAAGAAACAGUUUGUUGCAGUUCUAAGAAAAGGAUUCAAAGUGAGUAUGGCAUAGACUAUUUGGCUAAGACUCCAACCAAGUAAAAAGGUGAAAGAUUUAGCUUAGAGGAACCUCUGAUCUGAUAAUGUAGGAAGAGCCCUACAAUUAAGAAGACUGGGAGGAGUAGAAAGAACUGCCUUUUUAAUAUUAGCUUUAUUAACAUCUAUUAAGAGGAGUAAUCAAAAUCCAAAAUCAUCAUUUGCAGGUCCAAUUACAGUAACUGAUUAAGACAAAUCUUAUUAGUGGGUGCUAAACCAUUAGAUGACCAGUUGCAGGGAAAACAAAUCUUCAAAAUGACAAAUGUGUUAUCCUACAAAUUCUACAAAAAAAGGGUCACAAGUACCUUCUACAUAGAGAUUCUUAAGGUUGGUCAUCACUUAACCAAGUUAUCACAUCACAAUUUAACAUUGUGUUCAUCAUAUAAUAGGAAUUAUAUAAAAUCAUCUAAAUAUUCUAGCCCAAAACUGUUAUUUGUUCUCAACCUAACCAAGAUCCAACUGAUUUCUAGUUUAUAGGAAAUGGAAAGGUAAGAGAAGAGCAAGUGAACUGUCAUCAAGAAGUUAUAAUCAGACAAAUACUACUAUAAAACUACACAGAGAUGGCUCAGCCGUUAAGAGCACUGACUCCUCUUCCAGAAGUCAUGAGUUCAAUUCCAAGCUACCACAUGGUGGCUCAAAACCAUUUGUAAUGUGAACCAAUGCCCUCUUCUGGUGUGUCUGAAGACAGUGACAGUGUAUUUACAUAUAUAAAAUAAAUAAAUCUU